RNAcentral lists this ribosomal RNA (430 nucleotides) under uncultured bacterium. RNAcentral describes it as "bacterial SSU rRNA". It matches the Rfam family "Bacterial small subunit ribosomal RNA", at positions 608 to 1029 of the family's 1533-position model. The record is from RNAcentral.
CUCAACUGAGGAACUGCGUCCGAUACUGCCUGGCUUGAGGUCUGGAGGGGAGAACGGAAUUCCUGGUGGAGCGGUGAAAUGCGUAGAGAUCAGGAGGAACGUCGGCGGCGAAAGCGGUUCUCUGGACAGAUUCUGACGCUGAGGCGCGAAAGCUAGGGGAGCAAACGGGAUUAGAUACCCCGGUAGUCCUAGCCGUAAACGAUGGGUGCUAGGUAGUGGUGAUUCCUAUUUCGCCACUGCUGGAGCUAAUGUUUUAAGCACCCCGCCUGGGGAGUACGGCCGCAAGGCUAAAACUCAAAGGAAUUGACGGGGGCUCACACGAGCGGUGGAGCAUGUUGCUUAAUUCGAAGCAACGCGAAGAACCUUACCCGGGUUUGAAAUGCUAGUGGUAGCGCGGGGAAACCAUGCGUGACCCUUUAACGAGGGAGCU